Molecule: non-coding RNA, 76 nt
Organism: Cordylochernes scorpioides
Lineage: Eukaryota; Metazoa; Arthropoda; Arachnida; Pseudoscorpiones; Chernetidae
Source: the annotation of a GenBank genome assembly
UGCUGGCAUCUGCCCGUGGCCAUGGCAUCCGCCCGGUAAGCGGAACACUGUGGGUUCGAUUCCCAUCCCUGGACAU